GAUGAACGCUGGCGGUCUGCUUAACACAUGCAAGUCGAGCGCGCCCUUCGGGGUGAGCGGCGGACGGGUUAGUAACGCGUGGGAAUAUACCCUUUGGUACGGAAUAGCCUCUAGGAAAACGGAGAGUAAUACCGUAUGAGCCCUUCGGGGGAAAGAUUUAUCGCCAAAAGGAUUAGCCCGCGUUAGAUUAGGUAGUUGGUGGGGUAAUGGCCUACCAAGCCUACGAUCUAUAGCUGG
Molecule: ribosomal RNA, 237 nt
Filed under: uncultured Alphaproteobacteria bacterium
Lineage: Bacteria; Pseudomonadati; Pseudomonadota; Alphaproteobacteria
Description: partial 16S ribosomal RNA
Rfam family: Bacterial small subunit ribosomal RNA
Source: RNAcentral